This 254-nucleotide ribosomal RNA is filed under the name uncultured bacterium. RNAcentral describes it as "partial 16S ribosomal RNA". It matches the Rfam family "Bacterial small subunit ribosomal RNA", at positions 524 to 776 of the family's 1533-position model. The record is from RNAcentral.
UACGUAGGGGGCGAGCGUUGUCCGGAAUCAUUGGGCGUAAAGAGCUCGUAGGCGGUUCAGUAAGUCGGCUGUGAAAUUCCGAGGCUCAACCUCGGAACUGCAGUCGAAACUAUUGUGACUCGAGUCCGGUAGAGGAGAAUGGAAUUCCCGGUGUAGCGGUGAAAUGCGCAGAUAUCGGGAGGAACACCAGUAGCGAAGGCGGUUCUCUGGACCGUAACUGACGCUGAGACACGAAAGCGUGGGUAGCAAACAGG